CAUCAAGGACGUGGUGGACUGGAUCAAAGUGUGUGACACCUGUCAGCACACAGAAAGGAGUAAAAACCUGGCCAGGACGGUCCGGCCCAUUAAAGUGGACGCACCUUGGGAGAUCGUUGGGAUCGACAUUAUAGGGCCUUUCCCAGAGACGCAGCAGGGGAACUCUAACGUCAUAGUGCUCAUCGAUUACUUCAGUAAAUGGCCCGAAGCUUUUCCGGUUCAGAGGACGGACGCUCUCUCUGUCGCAAAAUGUAUUUCCAAAUGCAUAUACAGGUUUGGUGCCCCUAAAACAAUAGUGUGCACGCAGAACGCUGACUUCUGUGAUGAGGGUUCUCACACGCACCAAGCCCUGGCAGCACAUCACCCCUACUCUCUUCAACCUCCACUGGCUCCCGGUCAAGUCCUGCAUCACUUACAAACUCCUGCUCCUCACCUACAAAUCCCUCCAUGCCCUCUCCCCUCAGUACCUCACAGAUCUCCU
This is a long non-coding RNA of Trematomus bernacchii (emerald rockcod), 481 nucleotides long. RefSeq lists it as uncharacterized. Lineage: Eukaryota; Metazoa; Chordata; Actinopteri; Perciformes; Nototheniidae. The record is from RefSeq and is a predicted model, not a curated record. The transcript is spliced from 5 exons.